This 254-nucleotide ribosomal RNA is filed under the name uncultured bacterium. Its description in RNAcentral is "partial 16S ribosomal RNA". It matches the Rfam family "Bacterial small subunit ribosomal RNA", at positions 524 to 776 of the family's 1533-position model. The record is from RNAcentral.
UACGUAGGGGGCGAGCGUUUGUCCGGAAUCAUUGGGCGUAAAGCGCGCGUAGGCGGCCCGGUAAGUCCGUUGUGAAAGUCAAAGGCUCAACCUUUGAACGCCGAUGGAUACUGCCGGGCUAGAGUCCGGAAGAGGCGAGUGGAAUUCCUGGUGUAGCGGUGGAAUGCGCAGAUAUCAGGAGGAACACCAAUAGCGAAGGCAGCUCGCUGGGACGGUACUGACGCUGAGGCGCGAAAGCGUGGGGAGCGAACAGG